This 501-nucleotide ribosomal RNA is filed under the name uncultured bacterium. RNAcentral's name for it is "bacterial SSU rRNA". It matches the Rfam family "Bacterial small subunit ribosomal RNA", at positions 29 to 518 of the family's 1533-position model. The record is from RNAcentral.
AGUGAACGCUGGCGGCAGGCCUAAUACAUGCAAGUCGAACGGCAGCACAGCAGAGCUUGCUCUGUGGGUGGCGAGUGGCGGACGGGUGAGGAAUACAUGGGAAUCUGCCCAGUCGUGGGGGAUAACGUAGGGAAACUUACGCUAAUACCGCAUGCGCCCUUCGGGGGAAAGCCGGGGACCUUCGGGCCUGGCGCGAUUGGAUGAGCCCAUGUCGGAUUAGCUAGUUGGCGGGGUAAUGGCCCACCAAGGCGACGAUCCGUAGCUGGUCUGAGAGGAUGAUCAGCCACACUGGAACUGGGACACGGUCCAGACUCCUACGGGAGGCAGCAGUAGGGAAUAUUGGACAAUGGGCGCAAGCCUGAUCCAGCCAUGCCGCGUGAGUGAAGAAGGCCCUCGGGUUGUAAAGCUCUUUUGUCCGGAAAGAAAAGCGCCGGGUUAAUACCCUGGUGUCCUGACGGUACCGGAAGAAUAAGCACCGGCUAACUUCGUGCCAGCAGCCGU